GUUUUUUUCUUCUUCUUAUAUAUGAACUAGUUUAAUUUUUUUUCCUUCCCC
This 51-nucleotide small RNA is filed under the name Arabidopsis thaliana (thale cress). Its description in RNAcentral is "ATSL297270". Lineage: Eukaryota; Viridiplantae; Streptophyta; Magnoliopsida; Brassicales; Brassicaceae. The record is from RNAcentral.